Molecule: ribosomal RNA, 253 nt
Filed under: uncultured bacterium
Lineage: Bacteria
Description: partial 16S ribosomal RNA
Rfam family: Bacterial small subunit ribosomal RNA
Source: RNAcentral
UACGAAGGGGGCUAGCGUUGCUCGGAAUCACUGGGCGUAAAGGGUGCGUAGGCGGGGCUUUAAGUCAGGGGUGAAAUCCUGGAGCUCAACUCCAGAACUGCCUUUGAUACUGAAGAUCUUGAGUUCGGGAGAGGUGAGUGGAACUGCGAGUGUAGAGGUGAAAUUCGUAGAUAUCGGGAGGAACACCAGUGGCGAAGGCGGCGAUCUGGGAAGAUACUGACGCUGAGGUGCGAAAGCGUGGGGAGCAAACAGG